Molecule: non-coding RNA, 45 nt
Organism: Schistosoma rodhaini
Lineage: Eukaryota; Metazoa; Platyhelminthes; Trematoda; Strigeidida; Schistosomatidae
Source: Rfam
AUCCAGCUGACGAGUCCCAAAUGGGAUGAAAUGCACGUAGUGGAU